Molecule: ribosomal RNA, 253 nt
Filed under: uncultured bacterium
Lineage: Bacteria
Description: partial 16S ribosomal RNA
Rfam family: Bacterial small subunit ribosomal RNA
Source: RNAcentral
UACGUAGGGGGCUAGCGUUGUCCGGAAUCAUUGGGCGUAAAGCGCGUGUAGGCGGCCCGGUAAGUCCGCUGUGAAAGUCGGGGGCUCAACCCUCGGAAGCCGGUGGAUACUGUCGGGCUCGAGUACGGAAGAGGCGAGUGGAAUUCCUGGUGUAGCGGUGAAAUGCGCAGAUAUCAGGAGGAACACCAAUUGCGAAGGCAGCUCGCUGGGACGUUACUGACGCUGAGACGCGAAAGCGUGGGGAGCAAACAGG